RNAcentral lists this ribosomal RNA (464 nucleotides) under uncultured Glomus. RNAcentral describes it as "SSU rRNA". It matches the Rfam family "Eukaryotic small subunit ribosomal RNA", at positions 569 to 1039 of the family's 1831-position model. Lineage: Eukaryota; Fungi; Glomeromycota; Glomeromycetes; Glomerales; Glomeraceae. The record is from RNAcentral.
AGCAGCCGCGGUAAUUCCAGCUCCAAUAGCGUAUAUUAAAGUUGUUGCAGUUAAAAAGCUCGUAGUUGAAUUUCGGGAUCAAUAUGUUGGUCGUGCCUCGGUACGUACUAGCUUAUUGGUUUCUCCUUUCUGAAGAACCAUGAUGUCAUUUAUUUGGUGUCGUGGGGAAUCAGGACUGUUACUUUGAAAAAAUUAGAGUGUUUAAAGCAGGCUCACGCUUGAAUACAUUAGCAUGGAAUAAUGAAAUAGGACGUUUGAUUCUAUUUUGUUGGUUUCUAGGAUCGACGUAAUGAUUAAUAGGGAUAGUUGGGGGCAUUAGUAUUCAAUUGUCAGAGGUGAAAUUCUUGGAUUUAUUGAAGACUAACUACUGCGAAAGCAUUUGCCAAGGAUGUUUUCAUUAAUCAAGAACGAAAGUUAGGGGAUCGAAGACGAUCAGAUACCGUCGUAGUCUUAACCAUAAACUA